GUCCCCUUAGCUCAGUUGGUUAGAGCACCAGACUCUUAAUCUGGGUGCCCUGGGUUCGAGUCCCAGAGGGGAUACCA
This 77-nucleotide transfer RNA is filed under the name Acholeplasmataceae bacterium. RNAcentral describes it as "tRNA-Lys". It matches the Rfam family "tRNA". Rfam says of the family: Transfer RNA (tRNA) molecules are approximately 80 nucleotides in length. Their secondary structure includes four short double-helical elements and three loops (D, anti-codon, and T loops). Lineage: Bacteria; Bacillati; Mycoplasmatota; Mollicutes; Acholeplasmatales; Acholeplasmataceae. The record is from RNAcentral.